Molecule: long non-coding RNA, 324 nt
Organism: Anopheles arabiensis
Lineage: Eukaryota; Metazoa; Arthropoda; Insecta; Diptera; Culicidae
Exons: 2
Source: RefSeq, a predicted model, not a curated record
UCGCUACAUGUCAUUACACUUUUUUUUUCGAAAGCAAGAAAAUUUGCAUAUGUGCCUUCUAUUUCAAGCCUGCUGCCUGCAUAUUAUCAAUUCGUUCAAUUAUCCUACCACUUCCGUCGCAUAAACGUGUACCGUGCACCAGCAAUCGCUUUGUCUCUUAUAAAGGAUCUCUUGCUUCUUGGCUUAUUAGCAUCUCUCGCAACCUAAGUGCUGUCUAAUAAUUUGCCGUGUGCUCGUUCAAUCCUCUGCUAAGAGCAACCUCUGGGGGAGCAUUUGAUCAACUCUGUCCUAUCAACUUCAUCCGCUCAACCGCACCAGAUCAAC